AGGUAACAGGCCAAAGACAAUUGAAAGGUAAAGCAGAUGAAGGCAUAUUUAUCGGUACAGUUUUACUGAGGAAGAAGUAGCUUUUGCUGUAGAUCUCAUAUUAAUUCAUGGAAUUCUUUCUGGACAAGAGGAAACAAGAAAUGUAAUUCUUUCUUCAGUAGAGCAAAGAGACAGAUUCACUAUGAUCUAUUUGAAUACUGGAAGUGAUAAGGAGUGUCUUGUGGAGUUGUGGAAUCUGUGAGAGCAGUUGUCUGAUCUGAGAAUACACCAAAUAAAGCAUCAUCUUUACUGGAGACUUCCUUGCA
This 305-nucleotide long non-coding RNA is filed under the name Numida meleagris (helmeted guineafowl). RNAcentral describes it as "lncRNA (ENSNMEG00000021652.1)". The record is from RNAcentral. Lineage: Eukaryota; Metazoa; Chordata; Aves; Galliformes; Numididae.